This is a non-coding RNA of Acanthosepion pharaonis, 104 nucleotides long. NCBI's taxonomy places the organism in Eukaryota, Metazoa, Mollusca, Cephalopoda, Sepiida, Sepiidae. The record is from the annotation of a GenBank genome assembly.
UAUCACAUUGAAACACAGGUUCCUGUAUGAUCACUGAAGUUAAGCAACACUGAGCCUGACCAGUACCUAGAUGAGUGACCACUUGAGAAUACUAGGUACUGUAA